Molecule: ribosomal RNA, 564 nt
Filed under: uncultured Glomus
Lineage: Eukaryota; Fungi; Glomeromycota; Glomeromycetes; Glomerales; Glomeraceae
Description: SSU rRNA
Rfam family: Eukaryotic small subunit ribosomal RNA
Source: RNAcentral
AAUUGGAGGGCAAGUCUGGUGCCAGCAGCCGCGGUAAUUCCAGCUCCAAUAGCGUAUAUUAAAGUUGUUGCAGUUAAAAAGCUCGUAGUUGAAUUUCGGGAUUGACACAUCGGUCGUGCCUUAAGGGUAUGAACUGGUGUAGUCAAUUUCUCACCUUCUGGAGAACGGCGAUGCCCUUAAUUGGGUGUCGCGGGGAACCAGGACCUUUACUUUGAAAAAAUUAGAGUGUUUAAAGCAGGCAUUUUGCUUGAAUACAUUAGCAUGGAAUAAUAAAAUAGGACGGCAUGAUUCUAUUUUGUUGGUUUCUAGGAUCACCGUAAUGAUUAAUAGGGAUAGUUGGGGGCAUUAGUAUUCAAUUGUCAGAGGUGAAAUUCUUGGAUUUAUUGAAGACUAACUACUGCGAAAGCAUUUGCCAAGGAUGUUUUCAUUAAUCAAGAACGAAAGUUAGGGGAUCGAAGACGAUCAGAUACCGUCGUAGUCUUAACCAUAAACUAUGCCGACUAGGAAUCAGACGAUGUUAAUUUUUUAAUGACUCGUUUGGCACCUUACGGGAAACCAAAGUGU